GACGAACGCUGGCGGCGUGCUUAACACAUGCAAGUCGAACGGAAAGGCCCUGCUUUUGUGGGGUGCUCGAGUGGCGAACGGGUGAGUAACACGUGAGUAACCUGCCCUUGACUUUGGGAUAACUUCAGGAAACUGGGGCUAAUACCGGAUAGGAGCUCCUGCUGCAUGGUGGGGGUUGGAAAGUUUCGGCGGUUGGGGAUGGACUCGCGGCUUAUCAGCUUGUUGGUGGGGUAGUGGCUUACCAAGGCUUUGACGGGUAGCCGGCCUGAGAGGGUGACCGGCAACAUUGGGACUGAGAUACGGCCAAGACUCCUACGGGAGGAAAAAGUGGGGAAUAUUGAAAAAUGGGCGGAAGCCUGAUGCAGAAACGCCGCGUGCGGGAGGACGGCCUUCGGGUUGUAAACGGCUUUCGCCUGUGACGAAGCGUGAGUGACGGUAAUGGGUAAAGAAGAACCGGCUAACUACGU
This 467-nucleotide ribosomal RNA is filed under the name uncultured bacterium. RNAcentral's name for it is "partial 16S ribosomal RNA". It matches the Rfam family "Bacterial small subunit ribosomal RNA", at positions 28 to 506 of the family's 1533-position model. The record is from RNAcentral.